GCGAAGUGGCAUCACUACACGGCAUUCAAGCCUUACAGCUUGUCUGGUACAAAGCGGGAAGUUGACUCUCUUGUCCUUCCUCACGUUGUCCUUCUUCACAUAAAACAUUCCUACGUGUUAGCAUCGAAUAACAUAGUUUCGGUGAUACAGCUGCUUCGAGGCUGUAGAGUAGCUGUGUGAGUAAGGGACCAAACAGGUUCAGGCACGGCUUGAGCAGGUGUGCAGAUGCAUCAUUUUCUUCAAGUGCCCUGCAGUGGAGCUGCUUGGCUGUGUGUGACACGGCUGAUUUUCAUGCUCGCACCGCCGAGUCUGUUAGCACCAAAGUGUGAGACUGCCGGUGUAGAGCAACGAGACUGUUUCCCACAGAUUUCACAAGGCACGUGCUUACACUUUUUUUUUUUCUUUCUGAAGUUGAAGCACUGGUUGGUUUUUUGUUUCCGUUUUUACUGAUAAGAGUAGUAAGGAGUUAACACUGAGUCAGAUGUUGAAAGCUACUACGCACCACCAAUUUCCAGUUCAGUUUGAUUUUCUCGGUGCUGAUGUUGCCACCAGAUCUGUUAAACUGAUUUUCUCUUUUCUCAGCUGCCUUGAAGUCAGCUCUAUCAGCUGUGAGACAGUACAACGAAGGACUAGCACAAUGACCAAAAACUUUAGCAAACGAGUAAAGCUAUGUUUUUCCUCAAGCAAACAUAGGUUGCUGUGAAGCUGCUGUAAGUCUGCAAAUAAGAAAGGAAGGAGACCUCUGAGCUGGACAAUCUCUUCUACCAUCAGCUGUGAAGGAUGGGAUCUUUUUGAGGUGCCAGCUUGAGCCAGGAGACCUGAACCACUGGCAACAGGAAUGAGGGGAAUGUCCUUUGUUUGCAGGAGAGACCUGAGGCUGAAGGAGAAGGGCACUGCCAUGUUAUGAACUGUGCAAGAAGUGUUUACAGAGGGGCCCUGUGACCCAAGGUUUGAACUCACUGACUCACAGAAGUGCUAGUCUGUACAAGCCUUGCUGAUCAAAAAUUUUCAAAUACUGCGUCACUGAAAAUCACCUUCCAGGGAAAGCUGCUUUUGCUGCAUUUAAUCAACUCAACAGCCAAAAAUAUUUCAUCUCCAACAUUUUCAGCAAAUCAAUCCCUAAAGACAUGCUAAAGAGCUGUCCUGUUUGCUUCUCUUCAUGUGGCCUAGGCUCCUUCUUCUACAUUUCCUUACUGGAC
This is a long non-coding RNA of Oxyura jamaicensis (ruddy duck), 1199 nucleotides long. RefSeq lists it as uncharacterized. The transcript has 5 exons. NCBI's taxonomy places the organism in Eukaryota, Metazoa, Chordata, Aves, Anseriformes, Anatidae. The record is from RefSeq and is a predicted model, not a curated record.